GAAAAUCUUUUCAAAAGUACGGACAUAUCCUGUAACCUGAGAUUCCAUAUUGACUGCUCAACCAUAAAAGUAAAGACCACUCAAGAAUCAAGAUCUUAGGGCAGCAGUGUUCAGCUAUACUAAGAAGUACUACUUACAAGGGCGUACGGGGUAUUCUGUUCUUUUCAAGUAAAAGGCGAUAAUAAUGGCCUCUCUCCAGGUUUUGGGUUGGAUUCUCGUUCAUCUCGGUAUUUGUGAUGGAGUUGAUAGCGCAAAGGAAGUCACAGUCAUGCAAGGUCUUUUACUCGCUUACACAGAGAAAAAGAUGCAAUUCGGUUUUGGCUUUUUGUGACUUUUAAAAACAUUGGAUGUGGAAGUAAAAUAUAAAAAAAAUCUUUGCAUAAUUUGAAAAAGUUUGAAAUUUAGAUAUGUUAUUAACAAAUUGUUGAUCUAAUUGUAUGAUUAAUUUCAAAUAUGUAUUUUCAGUACUUUUUAUGAUACUUGCAAAAUAGCAAUUGGUGGGUUAGGAGUUUUGUUAAAUAUAUUCAUUGUAAAGAUUGAUAGUCAAAGACUUAUUAUACGACUUUCUUGUAUUUAUGGAAAGAAACAUUAUAUUUUUAUAAUAAGCUACUUUAAAAUGUAGCUAUAGGUACAGGAUUUGGUGGUUUAUAGCCGUACCAACUUGUUCUUAUAUCCAGCUCCGGUUUACCAUUAAAUAUUGACCCCGUUGAAAACUGACCCCAUGGGUCCCUUUUCAACGUUGAGAAUUGACCCCGCCAACAAUUCAACAUUAAAGUUUGAUUAAAAGGUCGUUGAAAGCUGAUCAGUCGUUCAAUUUUGAUCAGUCAUGGGGUCACUUUAUAACGGUUAGCUAAAUUUAAGUUAAACGUCGGAGAUCGUCUGUUUGUAGAAGAGAAACACAAGAGAAACAAAUUGGAAAGAACCAAAAACUAUCGUAGACUUGCUGGAUAGCCUACCUUCUUUAAAAAUAAUUUCACAAGGCCGAGCCCGGGAUCAAACUGACAGGCGAGAUCUAUAUGUUGGUUGGACAGGGAACUGUUAACGAAGGUUUACCAUAAUGAUUUUCGACAGGUUAGUGGGGUGUGGUCGGACUUCGACAGGCACAUCGAAACUUCCAUGCAGGAAGUAUCUUUUCCUGCAGCAGCGUAUUUAAAUAAACAGGAAAGACGUCAUGUCGUUUCAAAGACAAAUAACUGUUUAGUUUCGGUUUUAUUUUAUCGCUUGCAGCCUAACGUUAUGUACUUUAACUAAAAUUACUUUUUUUGAAUCGAGAAAUCAGAUUAUUUCAAAUAGUAUGAUCCUAGGGUCGUGGUCGUACUAAUUCGAGUUGUCCGUUAAAGCUAAAUUGAUUUAUCGUAAUUCAGGCUCGUACUUAUUCGAUUAGAAUAAUAGAAUAUGUCUGACAUAGGGUCGUACUAAAUAAAAUAACGUAAUAGAUAUGUCCCGUUUUUAUCAGUCAAGUGUAUUUUGAUACCGCUCCUCUGGACUAUUUGGUCGAACGUCGUUAUAGCCCCGCAAAACGUCAUCUUUUCGCCUUCCAGAUUGACGUGAUUGUAUUAAUUAAAUUAAGGAAUAAUAUAUCCCAAACAGUAAUUUAUCAUUGAAUAAAAUCAUUGUUUGGAGUUUAGAUGCGAAGGAAUUAUAUCACGAGGACGCAUCUAAACUGGGGAGGGCCCUGGAUAAUGUUGUAAUAACGUUUGGCCCAACCCAUUUGUAUGUAUUUGAUUUAAUGCUUGUAUUAAAUGUGAUUUAUACACAUGUGAAUAUAAUAUAUAC
This is a long non-coding RNA of Mercenaria mercenaria, 1776 nucleotides long. RefSeq lists it as uncharacterized. The record is from RefSeq and is a predicted model, not a curated record. The transcript has 3 exons. NCBI's taxonomy places the organism in Eukaryota, Metazoa, Mollusca, Bivalvia, Venerida, Veneridae.